This 281-nucleotide ribosomal RNA is filed under the name Salmonella enterica subsp. enterica serovar Stanley. RNAcentral's name for it is "partial 23S ribosomal RNA". It matches the Rfam family "Bacterial large subunit ribosomal RNA", at positions 711 to 989 of the family's 2925-position model. RNAcentral also lists the same sequence under 1 other name. Lineage: Bacteria; Pseudomonadati; Pseudomonadota; Gammaproteobacteria; Enterobacterales; Enterobacteriaceae. The record is from RNAcentral.
AGACCCGAAACCCGGUGAUCUAGCCAUGGGCAGGUUGAAGGUUGGGUAACACUAACUGGAGGACCGAACCGACUAAUGUUGAAAAAUUAGCGGAUGACCUGUGGCUGGGGGUGAAAGGCCAAUCAAACCGGGAGAUAGCUGGUUCUCCCCGAAAGCUAUUUAGGUAGCGCCUCGUGAAUUCAUCUCCGGGGGUAGAGCACUGUUUCGGCUAGGGGGCCAUCCCGGCUUACCAACCCGAUGCAAACUGCGAAUACCGGAGAAUGUUAUCACGGGAGACACAC